RNAcentral lists this transfer RNA (67 nucleotides) under Anopheles homunculus. Its description in RNAcentral is "tRNA-Pro". The record is from RNAcentral. Lineage: Eukaryota; Metazoa; Arthropoda; Insecta; Diptera; Culicidae.
CAAGAAAUAGUUUUAUUUAAAAUAUUAAUUUUGGGAAUUAACGAUAAAGAAGUUUCUUUUUUCUUGA